RNAcentral lists this ribosomal RNA (427 nucleotides) under Peronospora sp. UASWS0007. Its description in RNAcentral is "internal transcribed spacer 2". RNAcentral also lists the same sequence under 2 other names. The record is from RNAcentral. Lineage: Eukaryota; Oomycota; Peronosporomycetes; Peronosporales; Peronosporaceae.
CAACAAACUUGGUUUUCUUCUUUCCGUGUAGUCGGUGGAGGAUAUGCCAGAUAUGAAGUGUCUUGCGAUUGAUUUUUGUAUCGGUUGCGAGUCCUUUUAAACGUAAAACACUGUACUUCUCUUUGCUCGAAAAGCGUGGCGUUGCUGGUUGUGAAGGCUGUCCAUGUGACCAGUCGGCGAUCGUUUUGUCUACUAUGGCGUUUAAUGGAGAAGUAUUUGAUUCGCGGUAUGAUUGGCUUCGGCUGAACAGGCGCUGAUUGAAUAUUUUUCCUGCUAUGGCGGUAUGAACUUGAUGAACCGUAGUCGUAUGUUGACUUGGCUUUUGAAUUGGCUUUGCUGUUGCGAAGUAGAGUGACAGUUUCGGCUGUCGAGGGUCGACCGAUUUGGGAAAUUUGUGUGAUGCGACUUCGGUUGCGUUGCAUCUCAA